AUGGAGUGGGACAGCGAGUCCGACGGCGGCGGCAGCGCCGGGAGCGGGGACGAGAUGGAGGAGGAGGAGGAGGAGGGGGGAGAGGUGGUGCUUGGCGGGGGGAGCGGGAGCGGGAGCGAGGGCGGGGGAUUUGGAGGGAUAGGCGGCGACGGGGUCGGCGGGAUGUUCACGUUCGCCAUCGAGGGGAUGCUCCGCGGGGCGGGGCCGUACGGGCUGGUCGUCACGGACGCGCUCGAGCCCGACUGCCCCAUCAUCUACGUCAACCGCGGCUUCGAGGAGGCCACCGGGUACCGCGCCGAGGAGGUGCUCGGCAGGAACUGCCGGUUUCUGCAAUGCAGAGGCCCAUUUGCUCAGAGAAGGCACCCCUUGGUUGAUGAUGCAGUAGUUUCUGGGAUUCAGAGAUGCGUAGACAACGGUACUCAGUUCCGUGGUGAUUUGUUGAAUUUCAGAAAAGACGGAUUUCCAUUGAUGAAUAGGCUGCAUCUGACUCCUAUAUAUGGAGAUGAUGAUAUCAUCACCCAUUAUAUGGGCAUUCAGUUCUUCACCAAUGCUAAUGUUGAUUUGGGACCAGUACCUGGCUCAGUUACAAGGGAACCUGUGAGAUCUACACGGUUUGCUCCGGAUAACUUUUUCCGGCCCAUAACCACCGGACUAGAGCAGGACAACUUCUGCCGGGAGUAUUCCAGUCUCUUCCAGCUAACUGAUGAAGUACUUUGCCAGAGUAUUUUGUCAAGGUUGUCUCCAAGAGAUGUCGCAUCUGUGAGCUCUGUAUGUCGACGGUUGUAUGACUUAACAAAAAAUGAAGAUCUUUGGAGAAUGGUUUGCCGUAAUGCAUGGGGUAGUGAGACUACUCGAGCUCUUGAGACUGUGCCUGCUGCGAAAAGAUUGGGCUGGGGUCGGCUGGCCAGAGAACUAACCACCCUGGAAGCUGUUGCAUGGAGGAAAUUGACAGUUGGAGGUGCAGUGGAGCCAUCUCGAUGCAACUUCAGUGCUUGUGCUGUAGGGAAUCGUGUCGUUCUCUUUGGCGGGGAAGGUGUUAACAUGCAACCGAUGAAUGACACGUUUGUGUUGGAUUUGAAUGCUAGCAAUCCGGAGUGGAGACAUGUCAAUGUAAGCUCAGCUCCUCCGGGCCGCUGGGGCCAUACACUAUCUUGCCUAAAUGGAUCUUGGUUAGUUGUGUUCGGGGGUUGUGGAAGGCAGGGCCUUCUUAAUGAUGUAUUCAUGUUGGAUUUGGAUGCGAAACACCCAACUUGGCGGGAGAUCCCUGGUGUUGCACCGCCGGUUCCGCGUUCAUGGCACAGCUCCUGCACUUUGGAUGGGAAUAAGUUGGUGGUUUCUGGUGGCUGUGCAGACUCGGGUGUACUACUCAGUGAUACGUUUCUUCUUGAUGUGAGCAUGGACAGACCUGUAUGGAGGGAAGUACCUGCAUCUUGGACACCACCUUCUAGAUUGGGCCACUCAAUGUCUGUGUAUGAUGGUAGGAAAAUUCUGAUGUUUGGCGGUCUUGCUAAGAGUGGUCCUCUCCGACUACGAUCCAGUGAUGUGUUCACAAUGGACUUAAGCGAAGAAGAGCCCUGCUGGCGGUGCCUCACUGGGAGUGGAAUGCCUGGGGCGGGAAAUCCGGCUGGAGCUGGUCCACCUCCUCGUCUUGAUCACGUUGCUGUGAGUUUGCCAGGGGGAAGAGUGUUAAUAUUUGGUGGAUCAGUGGCAGGCCUCCACUCGGCGUCACAGCUGUAUCUCUUGGAUCCGACUGAAGAGAAACCUACGUGGAGGAUACUUAAUGUUCCCGGGCGACCUCCGCGGUUUGCGUGGGGCCACAGUACCUGUGUCGUUGGAGGUACAAAAGCGAUAGUGCUUGGAGGACAAACUGGAGAAGAGUGGAUGCUCACUGAAGUACAUGAGCUCUCUCUGGCUAGUAGUAACUCUGUUUGA
Molecule: ribosomal RNA, 1932 nt
Filed under: Triticum aestivum (bread wheat)
Lineage: Eukaryota; Viridiplantae; Streptophyta; Magnoliopsida; Poales; Poaceae
Description: partial small subunit ribosomal RNA
Source: RNAcentral